UAGCACAGUAUAUGCCUUUAGAAGAAGGUGGCAGUGCUGCAGCGUUACAUCAGUGUGUGCCCUUUAAUGUGGGCUCCUCCUACUGUGACUGUGUUUUCUCUGGAAAAUGCAAAGAAGGAAAUCUGUCCUGGAUUAUAUUUGAGAGGUCAGGCUGGAUCAUAUGUCCACUGAGGAAAGGACAUUUUUUCAGAUACAUUCAGGGGCAGUGUUUCAGUUUCAGGAAACUCCACAGCAGAGGAAGCCGGAACCAGAGCCUAGAUGCCUCCAAAAUGGGAAAAGGAUUUAAUUUUUGAUUUAAAAGCCACAUUUGCAAAAUUGAAAAUAUCCUUCAGAAUAUCAAUGCCAUAUGGCAGAGUUGUUAAGGCUUACUGGGAAUCUGUGGAACUAAGGCGUUAACAGUCUUCCUCAACACUGCUGAACGCGCAGAAGUUAAGUAUAUAUUUUUAUUUUAAAUAAAUGCAUCAUUUCUCUUCCAAUCUUGAUUCUUAAUCUUUCUCCGGGAAUGCAUGCGUUUGUCUUCACUUUUCAGUUCUGCAAGAUGUAUUACUGUAUAUACAGUAUGUGUUUAUAACUAAUGCAAUAUCUUUUUCUCAAACAGAAUGAACCACCUCUGAUGGACAAUUUCCACAAAUGCACCAGCAACAAUGAUACUGAAGUGGCAAUCUGGAACGUCACACCAAUUGCUAAGUGUCCCUAAUUUCCUUGUCAGUCCCCUCUUCACAAUGUACCCUGGAAAUUAUCCAUACAGAUCAAAAGCAUAAUGUAAUAUCACGUAAAGUAUAAGAAACCUUGAUAAUGUUACUGCUACAUUACCAAAUGCCAUUUUCCUGGAUGCUGGGUGUGUUUGUAGCACCUGCACUUUCUCUUUAUGUAUUGACAAUGUCACGCAACCAUUGUUUUGUUUUGUAUACUAGAUCUUAUUAUUGCAGUAUCUGCUGAUAAUCAUUAUGCUGCAUAUCAGAUCAGUGUUAUUAAAACAAAACUGGAGUAUGAUUAUGAUUUUCCUUUCCAAGCAUGAUGUCAUAGAUGUUGCAAGGUCUUCAUUUCAAAAUGGGCGUAGGCACGGAGAGAUUCGUGUUUAAAAUCUAAGCAAUCUGACAAGAUUGCUUAGAUUUUAAGCACGGAUCUGUCGUGUGUAUGCCCCCAGGCGAUAGACGCGCAUCGCAAUCGCCGAUGCUAGAUUGAGCCUACAUGCAGGCUCAAUCUAACGGGUCGAUCACUUCAGCGCUGUGUGAAGUGAGUGCCCCCCUCCUCGCUCAGCACACAUUGCGCUGUGCUGAGCGGGGGGAGAGAUGUGCGCUGAGCGGUCUGUGUUAAAAUCACUCAGCACACAUCUCUCCGUCAGUACUGGCCUUAAUGUGCAGUAAGUGUACAUCUUUAUCUCUUGAAUGGGUUUUUAAAUUCUGUGACUCUUGUUAACAAAAUGGCAAACCUACAAUGCUGGGAUUUGUAGUUCACCAGCUAUGUGUAGGUUUAGGUACAAGCAACACAGCAAAAGAGAUAAUUAGAUCACCACUGGUUGCUCUGGGAACAAACUAAUAAAAUAUUUUAUUCACUUUGCCAGGCUGACAGAAACUGUCCAUUACAUGGGUUGGUAUAGUAUAUAUAAAACAUAUUAUUAUUCUUUAUUUAUGUGGCACCACAAGGGUUCCACAGCACCUAACAAAGUAUGUAGACAAUUGAGCAGAACAAGAAAACAGUAAUUUACAGAACAAAACAAUGCUGAUCAUGUACAUGGUUUAGAAAGAUUGCUGCAUCAUAACACUUAAAUAAGCAGCAGGGCGGCAGCAACCAAGGGUUAGGAGCCGUGGUAGGGAGAAUGGAGUAGAUGAUAGUAUAAGCAAGAGAAGCCAGUGAGCGGAGAGGGCCCUGCUCGUGAGGGGCAGACAGGGGUGAUACAGAUGGGGUGACACUGUGAGCACAUGGAAGAGGGUUAGGAUGAGAGAUGGCUCGUUUAUAUAAGACAGAUUUAUAAAUACAUGAAUUACAGGUAACUUGCUAAAUUUAUACUGUAUGUGAUGGAAAAGUGCAUUUAUCAGUGAUGCAUUUGCGGUUGCUAAAGCCUAAUAAAAUGCUGCUAUAGUAGAGUGAGAGGCACUCCCAACUCCUAAAGGUAAAUGUAAAGAAAUGAAUAUAGGGUCUACCAACUCCCAAUAAUGCUUUGACAUACACUUGCUGCUUCAGGUACCUUGGGACCCUGGUCAUCUACGGCUUUGAGAGUCAGUAAACGUAGUACAGUAUAUAAUGAUUAUACACUACAUCUGUGUAUUAUGGUUCAGGACCAAAUUUGGAAAAUUGUUAGGUCAAAAGCAUUAUUGUGCGCUGGUAGACCCUACUUUUGUUUAUUACCCGGCUUAGUUUCCAAUUAAAAUGAAAUUAGCAUAUAAACCAUGCAUCAUUAGAGAUGGCUGCUCUUUAGAUCAGCUCUGUGCCCCACCUCCCGAGCUAUAACACUCCUACAAACGCAAAACUGGUUGUGUAUUCAGUGGAAAGUUAUAGAGUAGUAGUAUUAAUUACUUCAUUAAUUAAUUAAGCUCAAUAAGGACAGGACUGUUUUGAGGAUCUACUAGAAGCCAUUUAGGUACAGCAGCUGGAGCUCAUCUGUUCCUCGCCUGGGAUCUGGGGGGUCUCAUUGGUUGCAGCUGAUGCAACCAUGGCUUCUGUGAACAUAGAAAACCUGGCUCUGUGUCCAUCAGUCAGCAUGCUAAACAUAUAUAUUGGGCACAUAGUGACUCCAAGCUGGCAGGUACUUACAAAAGAGCUCAGACAGUACAAGAGCAAAAGCCUUACACAGAAGAAGGGUCAUACUUCCCGGGCACUCUGUCUUACAUUGCCAGAGCACUCUGGGGUCUAUUCAUGAAGCAGUGAAAAGUGUGGAGAAAUGAGCCAGUGGAGAAGUUGCCCAUGGCAACCAAUCAGCAUUGAAGUAACAUUUCAAUUUGCAUACUACAGGUUGAGUAUCCCUUAUCCAAAACGCUUGGGACCGGAAGUAUUUUGGAUAUCGGAUUUUUCCGUAUUUUGGAAUAAUUGCAUACCAUAAUGAGAUACAAUGGCGAUGGGACCCAAGUCUAAGCACAGAAUGCAAUUAUGUUUCAUAUACACCUUAUACACACAGCCUGAAGGUCAUUUUAGCCAAUAUUUUUAAUAACUUUGUGCAUUAAACAAAGUGUAUCUACAUUCACACAAUUCAUUUAUGUUUUAUAUACACCUUGUACACACAGCCUGAAGGUCAUUUAAUACAAUAUUUUUAAUAACUUUGUGUAUUAAACAAAGUUUGUGGACAUUGAGCCAUCAGAAAACAAAGGUUUCACUAUCUCACUCUCACUCAAAAAAGUCCGUAAUUCGGAAUAUUCCGUAUUUCGGAAUAUUUGGAUAUGGGAUACUCAACCUGUAUAACAUUAUACAGAGCAGCUGAUUGGUUGCCAUGGACAACUUCUCCAAUGGCUCACUUCUCCUCACUUUUCACUGCUUAUGUCUAAAUAUUUCUACAAUAACUCGAUAAUCUCUCAUGUCUUCAUCUUGUCAAUAACUGCUUUAAUAUUGGUGGCUAAUAAUUCUUCUGCCUUACAUUAGUCACACACACACACACACACACACACACACACACACACACACACACACACACACACACACACACACA
This is a long non-coding RNA of Pseudophryne corroboree (corroboree frog), 3640 nucleotides long. RefSeq lists it as uncharacterized. The record is from RefSeq and is a predicted model, not a curated record. The transcript has 3 exons. NCBI's taxonomy places the organism in Eukaryota, Metazoa, Chordata, Amphibia, Anura, Myobatrachidae.